Molecule: long non-coding RNA, 432 nt
Organism: Erinaceus europaeus (western European hedgehog)
Lineage: Eukaryota; Metazoa; Chordata; Mammalia; Eulipotyphla; Erinaceidae
Exons: 3
Source: RefSeq, a predicted model, not a curated record
CCAGUCUCAAGUCAUCAUAGUAUCAGAACAAUUCCAGUUCAAAGGCUUCCUGAGCAAAGCUGCUUGCUCCAGAAGAAGACUGGCCAAAUAUGGACCCAGUCCAGCUUGAAUUGGGAUGCCAAUGGAUUUAGGCAACAUGUCCUGAUGGAAUUGGAGCUCAGAACCCUCUUAUCCUCUUCCUCCUAUCACUUCUCUCCCACUGGAAGUAUGGAUCAAAUUUAUUUUGGGGGUGUAGAAGUUCUCUGUGAGCAGAUAUGUCAAGCUGAGUCCCUAAGAAGCAAACUAUCAUUGAUGGAUACCUGCAUGAGAAAGAAAUCAGUGGAAUUUGUAAAUUGACCUCAAGAGUUCUCGUGCAUUCUGAAUUCAGAUUUUGUUCCACAGAAUUUUUUUUCUUUCUGGAUAAUUUAAGAAACUACACCAAUAACUUUUCAA